This 427-nucleotide ribosomal RNA is filed under the name uncultured bacterium. Its description in RNAcentral is "partial 16S ribosomal RNA". It matches the Rfam family "Bacterial small subunit ribosomal RNA", at positions 354 to 796 of the family's 1533-position model. The record is from RNAcentral.
GUGAGGAAUAUUGCACAAUGGGCGAAAGCCUGAUGCAGCAACGCCGCGUGAGUGAUGAAGGCCUUUGGGUCGUAAAACUCUGUCCUUGGGGAAGAAAAAAAUGACGGUACCCUUGGCGGAAGCCCCGGCUAACUACGUGCCAGCAGCCGCGGUAAUACGUAGGGGGCAAGCGUUAUCCGGACUUAUUGGGCGUAAAGAGUGCGUAGGUGGUUUUGUCAGCGUAGGGUGAAAGGCAGUAGCUCCACUAUUGUUAGCCCUGCGAACUGUGGGAGUGGAGUGGAGGAGAGGAAAGUGGAAUUCCUAGUGUAGCGGUGAAAUGCGUAGAUAUUAGGAGGAACACCAGUGGCGAAGGCGACUUUCUGGACUGUAACUGCCACUGAGGCACGAAAGCGUGGGUAGCAAACAGGAUUAGAAACCCGUGUAGUCC